AUGGUUUUAGUGCUAGUGAAAUUGGCUGUAACGCUAGCAACAGUAACAGUGGCACUGAUAGUAACAGUAACAGUGGCACUUGUAGUAACAGUAACAGUGGCAAUUNNNNNNNNNNACAGUGGCAAUUGUAGUAACAGUAACAGUGGCAAUUGUAGUAACAGUUUUAAUUCCUUUUGCGGUACUAAUGCGAACAACAUAAACAAUAAACAACAAAACAAAGAAUUUUUACUGACUGACGAUAUAAAUUGUAUAAUCGAAAAUAUAGAAUUUUUAUCAAAUGUAGAAAAAAAAAAAUUAAAAGUUAUUUUACGAUCUGUUUGUUCGUACAUGAAUAGGCAGUAUGAACAAACAAACAGUUUUUUUCAUAUUAUAUACAAAAAUGUAUUAUAUCUGCUUAAUCAAAAUUAUAUGCAUCAACAAGCUGUAAGUUACAAAUUAAGAGAGCAGCAGAACAAUAAUAAUAACAAUAAUAAUAACAAUAAUAAUAAUAAUGAUAAAAAUAAUGAUAAUGAUAAAAAUGAAAUCGUAAAUAGAAAUCCCAAAUAUAUACAAAACAAAUUUUCAAAUGAAACAGACAAUUAUUUAUUAGAUAUAAAACAAAACAAAACAACAGAUUUGCAAACAGUUAGUGAGCUAAUCAAACUUUUUAAUUAUUUAAUGAUUGAAAUCGAUACAGUGUAUUAUUUAUAUUUAAAUAAUACCAUAGAACAGUUUAAUAUAGAAACCAUAAUAAAUAUGAUGAAAAGUUUUGUUUUUGUUUAUAAUAUAAAGAAUGAUUUGAACAAAAAUUAUAACAACGACAGUGUUAGUACGGACAGUAGUAGGAACUUACACACAAAUAAAGAAUAUAUAAAAACUUUAGAUAACAAUAUAAACAACCUAAUAAACAUUGUUACUCAAAUAAUAACAACAAGUACAUUAUAUAAUGUAUACAGUAUGUGUACGAUAAAACAAUUAAGUACUAUUGUUUAUUAUUUAUAUCAAAUAGAAAAUAUUUUUAAUGAAGAAGCAAAAGAGUUGUUACAGUUUGAAAAAUUACAAAAACACAUUAACAAUAUAGUUAUUGCAAAUUUAAAAAAUAUUUUAAAAGAAAAUGAAAAUACAAUAAAAAGUUCGAACAGCACUGGGAAAAUGGUUCAUCUUGAUACAUUUGGACAGGAAGAAAAUAAUAUAAAUAACCAUAAGAUUGGUAAUAAUCGAGUUGAUAAUACGACGGGUAACACGUUUGAUAACAAUCCAAUCACAAGUGACAAAGAUAGUGAAAAGGUAACAUACCCUUUUACCAAUAAUAGUAAUAGUAAUACUAAAUUAAUGGACCCUAUCAGUGUAAAUAAAAAUCAAAACGAACGGAUAGAAGAAUAUGAAAAUAAAAAAAAAAAAAAAAAUUAUAAUAAUAAUAACAAUGACAGUGAUAACGAUGAAUGUUUUAUUUUAUUAUUGAAUAUAUACAGCAAAAAAGGAGAUAAAAAGAACAUACUGCUGAUGUUACUAAAAAUAUUGAAUAUAGAAAAAAUAGCAAAAUCAAAUUACAGGUCCGAAGUAUAUAUUAGUUUGUUAAAUGCAGUGGCUAAAUUGAAGUACCGAAACGUAACACUUAUUAAUAUAUGUAUAAAAAAAAUAAAUAAAAAUGUACAGAAUUAUAAUUUUUAUGACUAUGUAAAUGUUCUAAUAUCUUUAUCUAAGCUUAAUAUAUGUAGUAUUAAUUUAAAACAUAAAUAUGAUAAGGUUUUUUUAUUAACGAGUCAUAAUAUAAAUGGUAAGGAAAAAGAAUAUAAUAAUGAGUCUAUAAAUGGUAUAUUUAGGAACGAGUAUGACAGUAGUGAUCGUACCAGUAGUAGUGAUCGUACCAGUAACAGUGAUAGUAACAAAAAUCGCGAUAACAAUAUUAUCCUUAAUAAUGACAAAGUUGAAGAAGCAUAUAAUUUAAUAAUACUUUUAAGAAUAAUAAAUAAAAACAUAUGUAAGUUUGUUUUAUUACCCACUUAUAAAAUAAUUAAUCUUAUUUCUAAUAUUUUAAGUAGCUACACAAUUUUAGGAUUUGAUAAAAUAAAUUUCAACAAUAUAAACAAGUUAUUAGAAUGUUUCCAUGAUUAUAUAUAUAAUUAUUUUGAACAUAAAAAUAUGUUAGAUUGCAAACAGAGUAGUAGUACUAGCGAUACAAAUGAACAGGUAGAAAAUAAAAUAAAUAAUAAUAAAAUAAAUAAUAAUAAAAUAAAUAAUAAUGAAAUAAACUAUAAUGAUUAUAUAUGGAGUAAGAAUUAUAAUUGGUAUUUCAGUAAUAAACAUAACAUAGUAAUAAGAAAAAAAAACUGUACAAAUACAAAUGCUGUAUUAUAUAUUCCACUUCAAUGUAUAUACCAAUUAUAUAUAUUUAACAUUUAUUUUAAUGCAUAUAUAAGUUAUGUAUAUGAGUCGAAUAAAACGGGUGAUAUAAAAAAUAAAAAAAAUUCAUUUGAUUUUGUAACUGGGUUAAUAAAAAAUAAAAUAAAAAUUGGUGAUAUAAAAUAUGAUUUAUCACAAUUGUUACAUAAUUCAGAUGUAUACUUAAACGAUGAACAUACUGAUAGCAUCAAUUGUCAUAAUAAUAAAAGUUAUAAUUUUUUUAAUAUAAACAAUAUUUUAAGUAAAAAAAGUAUACGCUUAUUAAAUGAUUUAGUUAUGUUUGUUAAAUAUAUAAACAACUUUUAUAAAAAAAAAAAUUAUGAAAAAUAUAAUAUGUUUAUGUCAUUUAUGAAUAAUAUUCAACUUCAACAUAAUUCCGUUGCUAGUAAUUAUAAAAAUGAUAAUAAUACCGAUGGUCAAGAUGGUUAUUCAAAUAGUAAUCAACACAAUUAUAAAACGUUAAUUGAACACAUUAGAUAUUGUCAUGUUCAAGUGAAUAAAGGAAAUUAUGUGACUACUUCAUCAAGCUUCCAUAGAGAUAUUUUUUCUACUCUGCUUUUAUUGGGUAUAAAAAAUGUGGAGUGUGAAGUACCAUUUCUCGAUGGAGUAUAUAGUAUUGAUAUCGUUAUAAACAACUCGAUAUGUAUAGAAAUUAAUGGAACUAAUCACUACUACUAUGAUAGCAACAUGAAAAAAUCAAGUCAAAAAAUUGAUUCUAUAAACUUAUUAAAGUAUUAUUUGUUAAGUAAAAAAUUUAAGUUAAUUUUAGUGUCAUAUUUAGAAUGGAGUAAUUUGAAAAACAUCGAAAUGAAAAAGCAAUUUUUAAGUGAAAUUAUAAAAAUAUAAAACAGGAACAAACAAAAAUAUAUAAAAUGCAAAUAUAUAAAAUGUAAAUACAUGAAAUGUAAAUACAUACAUUGUAAAUACAUGCAGUGUAAAUACAUACAUUAUAAAUACAUACAAUAUAUAUAAAAGGAAAAAAUAAGAAAAAAAAAAAUAACACUAAAAAUAAUACACAUAUAUAUGUAUACCUAAAUAGGGAUACACUUGUAUGUAUAUAAAAAUAUAUAACCAAAAUUAAAAAUUACAAUUUUAUAAAUCAAUAGUAAAUACAAACAAUAUUAUUAAAAAAUGAACACAUCUAGUGCAUAUAUUUUUAAUAUAAUAAAUGUUUAUUAUAAAAAGCUGUUAUAACCUUU
Long non-coding RNA from Piliocolobus tephrosceles (Ugandan red Colobus), 3581 nucleotides. The record is from Ensembl. NCBI's taxonomy places the organism in Eukaryota, Metazoa, Chordata, Mammalia, Primates, Cercopithecidae.